GAUCUAGUGAAGUGACCUCUUGAU
This 24-nucleotide non-coding RNA is filed under the name Arabidopsis thaliana (thale cress). The record is from RNAcentral. Lineage: Eukaryota; Viridiplantae; Streptophyta; Magnoliopsida; Brassicales; Brassicaceae.